ACACAUGCAAGUCGAGGGGAAACGACAUCGAAAGCUUGCUUUUGAUGGGCGUCGACCGGCGCACGGGUGAGUAACGCGUAUCCAACCUGCCCACCACUUGGGGAUAACCUUGCGAAAGUAAGACUAAUACCCAAUGAUAUCUCUAGAAGACAUCUGAAAGAGAUUAAAGAUUUAUCGGUGAUGGAUGGGGAUGCGUCUGAUUAGCUUGUUGGCGGGGUAACGGCCCACCAAGGCGACGAUCAGUAGGGGUUCUGAGAGGAAGGUCCCCCACAUUGGAACUGAGACACGGUCCAAACUCCUACGGGAGGCAGCAGUGAGGAAUAUUGGUCAAUGGACGAGAGUCUGAACCAGCCAAGUAGCGUGCAGGAAGACGGCCCUAUGGGUUGUAAACUGCUUUUAUAAGGGAAUAAAGUGAGUCUCGUGAGACUUUUUGCAUGUACCUUAUGAAUAAGGACCGGCUAAUUCCGUGCCAGCAGCCGCGGUAAUACGGAAGGUCCGGGCGUUAUCCGGAUUUAUUGGGUUUAAAGGGAGCGUAGGCCGGAGAUUAAGCGUGUUGUGAAAUGUAGACGCUCAACGUCUGCACUGCAGCGCGAACUGGUCUUCUUGAGUACGCACAACGUGGGCGGAAUUCGUGGUGUAGCGGUGAAAUGCUUAGAUAUCACGAAGAACUCCGAUUGC
This 678-nucleotide ribosomal RNA is filed under the name uncultured bacterium. Its description in RNAcentral is "bacterial SSU rRNA". It matches the Rfam family "Bacterial small subunit ribosomal RNA", at positions 51 to 716 of the family's 1533-position model. The record is from RNAcentral.